RNAcentral lists this ribosomal RNA (776 nucleotides) under uncultured bacterium. Its description in RNAcentral is "bacterial SSU rRNA". It matches the Rfam family "Bacterial small subunit ribosomal RNA", at positions 8 to 796 of the family's 1533-position model. The record is from RNAcentral.
AGAGUUUGAUCCUGGCUCAGGACAAACGCUGGCGGCGUGCCUAAUGCAUGCAAGUCGUACGGUUCUUGCGACCUUUCGGGGUGGCAAGAACAGUGGCGGAUGGCUGAGUAACGCGUGAGUAACCUACCUCCGGGUGGGGGACAACCCCGAGAAAUCGGAGCUAAUACCGCAUAAGUUCUCUGGGCCUUGGCCUGGAGAGGAAAGCCGCAAGGCACCCGGGGAUGGGCUCGCGUCCUAUCAGGUAGUUGGUGGGGUAAUGGCCUACCAAGCCGAUGACGGGUAGCUGGUCUGAGAGGACGGUCAGCCAGAGGGGGACUGAGACACGGCCCCCACUCCUACGGGAGGCAGCAGCAGGGAAUCUUGGGCAAUGGGCGCAAGCCUGACCCAGCGACGCCGCGUGGGGGACGAAGGCCUUCGGGUCGUAAACCCCUUUUCCAGGGGAAGAGAAAGGACGGUACCCUGGGAAUAAGCCUCGGCUAACUACGUGCCAGCAGCCGCGGUAAUACGUAGGAGGCGAGCGUUGUCCGGAUUUACUGGGCGUAAAGGGCGUGUAGGCGGUCGGGUAAGUCCUCUGUGAAAUCUCCCGGCUUAACUGGGAGGGGUCAGGGGAUACUACCUGGCUUGAGGGCAGCAGAGGAGGGUGGAAUUCCCGGUGUAGCGGUGACAUGCGUAGAUAUCGGGAGGAACACCAGUGGCGAAGGCGGCCCUCUGGGCUGUUCCUGACGCUGAGGCGCGAGAGUGUGGGGAGCAAACCGGAUUAGAUACCCUGGUAGUCC